This 595-nucleotide ribosomal RNA is filed under the name Salmonella enterica subsp. enterica serovar Kentucky. Its description in RNAcentral is "partial 23S ribosomal RNA". It matches the Rfam family "Bacterial large subunit ribosomal RNA", at positions 161 to 795 of the family's 2925-position model. The record is from RNAcentral. Lineage: Bacteria; Pseudomonadati; Pseudomonadota; Gammaproteobacteria; Enterobacterales; Enterobacteriaceae.
AAUCCAUAGGUUAAUGAGGCGAACCGGGGGAACUGAAACAUCUAAGUACCCCGAGGAAAAGAAAUCAACCGAGAUUCCCCCAGUAGCGGCGAGCGAACGGGGAGGAGCCCAGAGCCUGAAUCAGCAUGUGUGUUAGUGGAAGCGUCUGGAAAGGCGCGCGAUACAGGGUGACAGCCCCGUACACAAAAGCGCAUGUGCUGUGAGCUCGAUGAGUAGGGCGGGACACGUGGUAUCCUGUCUGAAUAUGGGGGGACCAUCCUCCAAGGCUAAAUACUCCUGACUGACCGAUAGUGAACCAGUACCGUGAGGGAAAGGCGAAAAGAACCCCGGCGAGGGGAGUGAAAAAGAACCUGAAACCGUGUACGUACAAGCAGUGGGAGCACAGGUUUACCUGUGUGACUGCGUACCUUUUGUAUAAUGGGUCAGCGACUUAUAUUCUGUAGCAAGGUUAACCGAAUAGGGGAGCCGGAGGGAAACCGAGUCUUAAUUGGGCGUUAAGUUGCAGGGUAUAGACCCGAAACCCGGUGAUCUAGCCAUGGGCAGGUUGAAGGUUGGGUAACACUAACUGGAGGACCGAACCGACUAAUGUUGAAAA